RNAcentral lists this small nuclear RNA (111 nucleotides) under Carlito syrichta (Philippine tarsier). RNAcentral describes it as "U2 spliceosomal RNA (ENSTSYG00000024585.2)". It matches the Rfam family "U2 spliceosomal RNA". Rfam says of the family: U2 is a small nuclear RNA (snRNA) component of the spliceosome (involved in pre-mRNA splicing). Complementary binding between U2 snRNA (in an area lying towards the 5' end but 3' to hairpin I) and the branchpoint sequence (BPS) of the intron results the bulging out of an unpaired adenosine, on the BPS, which initiates a nucleophilic attack at the intronic 5' splice site, thus starting the first of two transesterification reactions that mediate splicing. Lineage: Eukaryota; Metazoa; Chordata; Mammalia; Primates; Tarsiidae. The record is from RNAcentral.
AUCGCUUCUCGGCCUUUUGGCUAAGAUCAAGUGUGAUAUCUGUUCUUAUCAGUUUAAUAAAUCAAACUUUUCUUUGGGGGAUUAUCCCAGGCCAUCAUAGGAGAACAUGGA